This 429-nucleotide ribosomal RNA is filed under the name Pseudomonadota bacterium. RNAcentral's name for it is "Proteobacteria bacterium partial 16S ribosomal RNA". It matches the Rfam family "Bacterial small subunit ribosomal RNA", at positions 355 to 776 of the family's 1533-position model. The record is from RNAcentral. Lineage: Bacteria; Pseudomonadati; Pseudomonadota.
UGGGGAAUAUUGGACAAUGGGCGAAAGCCUGAUCCAGCCAUGCCGCGUGUGUGAAGAAGGUCUUCGGAUUGUAAAGCACUUUAAGUUGGGAGGAAGGGCAGUAAGCGAAUACCUUGCUGUUUUGACGUUACCGACAGAAUAAGCACCGGCUAACUCUGUGCCAGCAGCCGCGGUAAUACAGAGGGUGCAAGCGUUAAUCGGAAUUACUGGGCGUAAAGCGCGCGUAGGUGGUUCGUUAAGUUGAAUGUGAAAGCCCCGGGCUCAACCUAGGAACUGCAUCCAAAACUGGCGAGCUAUAGUAGUGCAGAUGGUGGUGGAAUUUCCUGUGUAGCGGUGAAAUGCGGUGAUAUAGGAAGGAACACCAGUGGCGAAGGCGACCACCUGGGCUCAUACUGACACUGAGGUGCGAAAGCGUGGGGAGCAAACAGG